Long non-coding RNA from Drosophila erecta, 680 nucleotides. RefSeq lists it as uncharacterized. The record is from RefSeq and is a predicted model, not a curated record. The transcript is spliced from 2 exons. NCBI's taxonomy places the organism in Eukaryota, Metazoa, Arthropoda, Insecta, Diptera, Drosophilidae.
ACAUUUCGGACUCUUGCAGAGUUCACAGCCGCAUUUGGUUCCGUUCUUUUUGUUUUUUUCUUUUUUCUUUUGACAUUUCCCCAACGGCGGCUCUGAGCGGCGUUUUUAAAAAUUACGCUCUGUUUACUUUUUUCACGGCCCAGGAAAGGAGAGGAGAGAUGAGGAGCGCUGAGAAUAAGGGGGAGCGGAGCGUAGAGUAGCCGCUGCCGGCGUCGCAUCAGGUGUUUUCAUUUCGCUGGCCGCCCUCUGUUUUGGUCAGUAUUUCCAUUACGAUAGGGCCACGCAUUGAAGACGGUCUGAUUUUCAUAUGUACUUUAGCGCACAUUUUGCACAAUCGAUAGAGUGGCGGAAAAGCGCCAAAGUUAAAGUGCAAAUGCAAAUGAGUGGGAAUACGGGUCGGAUUCGAUAAGAGCGAAGUGGUUCUAUUCAAUGCCCCAUACAGGCUUGCUAAUCUUAAGUACAAUCUGGACCUGGACACUAUAUUAUAAAUUUAAAUAGAGAUUAAAUGGAGUAGAUAAGUCUAUCAAUGUUCAGGAACUUUUAAUUGAAUAAAGUUUUCUGUCUGCCUUAAUUUGGAAAUAUAAAAUAACACUUUACAGGUACCACGAACUGUAAGCUCUUGCUUAGAUAAUAAUUAAAAGGAAAGAAAAUUAAAUUAAAACUUUAAAUUAAUACAAAUG